This 208-nucleotide long non-coding RNA is filed under the name Elaeis guineensis (African oil palm). Its description in RNAcentral is "long non-coding RNA (EGUI_LNC011477)". Lineage: Eukaryota; Viridiplantae; Streptophyta; Magnoliopsida; Arecales; Arecaceae. The record is from RNAcentral.
CUCAUGGCUCUCUCGGAAGCGGUGGGGAGGAGGGAGAGAUGGAGAGUGCAGAAAGGAGAAGGAAUUUUAUUUUAUUUUUCGAUCUUGAAAUGGAUUCAUCUCCGACUGUGGUGGAUCUGUUCUCUGCUUCGCUUUCACAUUGCUCGUCUCCUCUGCUCAUCCCCCAGCGGUGCAGUGGCUUCCUAUUUUCUACCAUUGCGAUCGUGCA